UGCCUCUCAGGGUCGCACCUGGAGAGCUUCUAGUAUUCUUCCAGUCUCAACUAAGGGAGGGAGAGUCAAGCAGAGGCAUUUCCAUUCCUACCUUGAGUAGUGGCUAGUGAGUGGAAGGCAAUCUGCUACAAGU
Ornithorhynchus anatinus (platypus) is the source of this 133-nucleotide small nucleolar RNA. The record is from RefSeq and is a predicted model, not a curated record. Lineage: Eukaryota; Metazoa; Chordata; Mammalia; Monotremata; Ornithorhynchidae.